CCCGCUUCGUUUCAGUCAGUAGUUUGUGACUUGUUCUUUUGUUCAUGUUGUAAGUAGUAUUGAUUUACAAUUUACACAUUUAGCAGGAGCAGCAAUGUGUGGAACACCGCUUCGCAGUGGUGCUACGAUCGGCCAAUUCUUCGAAUUCAAUUAAGAAUAUGUUCAGCAUCCGCAAGUAUGGGGUAAUUCCAUGAAAUAGCGCUGUUUGCAGUUUGCGCACCUACUAUAAGACGGUCGCUGCUCAACACUGCAGAUCCAUUCCAUUUGAAAUGGAAAUUCUCAGCCAUCGUUAACUUCUUUCUGCACUCUCAACAGACAUAGGAAUCUUCACCGAUGGUUCUAACGAUGGGACCACAGCCCCCAAUGGUACGCCAGCAACAACCGAUUCUUCUGAUACUUCGGACCCACCGACACCACCCAUCAAGAAGCGGAAGACACUUUGAAGACCUUGACAGCUGGAAUUUUGAAGGAAGUGGGAGCACGGAACGAAAUGCAGAGCGACGCCACCUUGCGAUGCAUUCGCGUGACGACAUUACCUUCACAAUAAUUUGCCUUGAAGAAC
RNAcentral lists this small RNA (562 nucleotides) under Drosophila pseudoobscura pseudoobscura. RNAcentral's name for it is "GA31943". Lineage: Eukaryota; Metazoa; Arthropoda; Insecta; Diptera; Drosophilidae. The record is from RNAcentral.